Molecule: non-coding RNA, 47 nt
Organism: Heterorhabditis bacteriophora
Lineage: Eukaryota; Metazoa; Nematoda; Chromadorea; Rhabditida; Heterorhabditidae
Source: Rfam
CCAACGGCCCUCUUUAGGGCCACAUACGUGUAUGAAUACAAUUGGAU